UCUCAAAGAUUAAGCCAUGCAUGUCUCAGUGCACGCCUUUAUACGGUGAAACCGCGAAUGGCUCAUUAAAUCAGCUAUGGUUUAUUGGAUCAUACCCGUUAAAUGGAUAACUGUAAUAACUCUAGAGCUAAUACAUGCCACGAUGCCCUGACCCUUUUGGGAAUGGGUGCACUUAUUAGAUCAGAAGCCAACCGUGUAUGUCCGAAAGGAUGUGCAUGUUGACCUUCUGGUGACUCUGGAUAAUUGUUACAGAUCGCAGUCGGCCUCGAGUCGGCGACGGGUCCUUCAAAUGUCUGCCCUAUCAACUUUCGAUGGUAGGUGACCUGCCUACCAUGGUGAUAACGGGUAACGGGGAAUCAGGGUUCGAUUCCGGAGAGGGAGCCUGAGAAACGGCUACCACUUCCAAGGGAGGCAGCAGGCGCGCAAAUUACCCACUCCCAGUACGGGGAGGUGGUGACGAAAAAUACCGAUGCGGGACUCUUAACGAGGCUCCGUAAUCGGAAUGAGUGAACUAUAAAUCCUUUCACGAGGAUCAAUUGGAGGGCAAGUCUGGUGCCAGCAGCCG
Molecule: ribosomal RNA, 565 nt
Filed under: Proteocephalus sp. AI-2022
Lineage: Eukaryota; Metazoa; Platyhelminthes; Cestoda; Proteocephalidea; Proteocephalidae
Description: SSU rRNA
Rfam family: Eukaryotic small subunit ribosomal RNA
Source: RNAcentral